This 3309-nucleotide long non-coding RNA is filed under the name Olea europaea subsp. europaea. The record is from RNAcentral. Lineage: Eukaryota; Viridiplantae; Streptophyta; Magnoliopsida; Lamiales; Oleaceae.
CGACUGGCGACUGCUUGCCGCCUCCAAGAGCUCCAACCGGACGGUGACCAGGCCACGGACUCAUUUCCUUAGGCGACUUCUCUUCCUCCUCUUAUGGUGAAGUGGAAGAUUCUCCAAGUAAGCCUUUGAAUGAGCUUUUUAUAUACUGUUGUCCUUUCUUUUUUUUUUUUUUUUUUUAAAUUGUGUUUCUCUACUUGUUAAAUUGGCUUGUUCAAAGUUUUUCUGUUUUAGGUAUCUGAGUUUGUUGUAUUUUCCGCUUGUAAGGUUGUUAUUGCUUAUUUUCAAAAUAAUAGCUUCAUUUCGAGGUGAAAAUUUUUAGAUAGAUGGUUGUAGGAAAUUAAUCAUUUUGGGUUCAUUGAUUUUGAGUUGUAAUGUAAUGAAGCUUGGAUUUCAUUUUUAAUUAGAGAGCGCAGAAGGAAGUGGAAGGGUUAGGUUUAAUUGUGCAGACAUUCACCCUUCAUUAUUUUCCAUGGAGACUGACCCUGGGUGGGAUCGAAAAUCUGAUAUGAAACCUAGUUUUUGAGCUUGUUAGGAGCUCAUUUUGUAAUUAUAAUAAUGGGUUUAUGAAUUGGUUAAACUCGAGUGGAUUUAUGGUAUUUAAAUAACGAGUAGUGUUACAGGUACAUAAGCAUAUACAUAUGGAUGUCCAUAAUGCUACGUGGCACUCUAUCAUUUGUUUGUUUAAAGCACAAUCAACUUUUUCAACUAAUAUUUUCCUUCCAUAUCACAUUAUGUCAUCCUUUAUGUACGUUUAUUAUGUACACUUAACAAAAUCCUUAAAUAACACGAGGUUGAGAGAUUGGCAAUCUUAGGGUGCGCUGGAGAGUUUUUCUUUUUCAUCCUUUUGAUGAUCUUCGAGCUGGUAGUGCUAGCUGGAUUAAGUACUAAUGGUUAGGAGUUGAAUAUUUCAACUAUAAUUUAUAAAUACCUUUAUUUUUUGCGGUAGGUUUUAGUAGCUGAUUUGAAAUUUCCUGCCUUGUCUCCUAUUUUAUGGCUUUUCCUUGUAAUUUGACAUUAAAAACUGACCAGAUCCAAAACCAUGAACUGAGAUUGAUUAGCAAAAGAAAUGUAUUUUAGGAUUGAUGAUUUGAUUACACAGCUUUAUCAGGUUCACAAGCUGAAUGUAAUUAAAAGUGAAUAGUAUUUAACUAACUAUUUGAAACAUUGUUGGUUUUGUUAUUUUAUAAUAUAAAUCUUUUGUCUAAUAUAUUUAUUUGUUAUUUUAACGUUAAAUUUUAAGUUAACAAUAUGUUAUAUAAUAUAUCGUUGAAUUUUGCAUUUACGUUGAUUUUAAUUUAUGGAUUUCGCCUCAGACCUCGACAAUCACAGGACCGGCCCUGCAAAUAUAGAGACAUGAAUUGGACGACUGUCUGGAGUUGAUAAUACACACACACACAUAAAGUGGGAGAGGAAGGGUGGAUGAAAUUUUGAGAAGAAUUGAAGUGAAUUGAAUAUAUAUACACGCACGUGCAGAAGUCGAGAAAAUUGUGGAAUUAAUCGAUUUUUGGUGAUGUCUUUCCACUUUUAAGUGUUUAAUUCCAAUAUUAUGCUAAGCUAAUUCUUCUCAUGUGUCGGAUGAAGAUAAAAUUAUUUAUUAUUUAUUUUUAAUUCAAGACAAAUAAUUAGUUAAAUUCGCAAUAAAUUAUAGGAACAAUAUUUAUCACUUGUAUAAUUUUUGAGAUAAUUGUGAAAUUAAAUGCGUUCUAUUCAUUCGAAUUUGGACUAGGAAUAAAUUCAGAUCGUGACUAGAAUAAAAUUAAUUUGUCUUAGAAAAAAUUAAUUACAUUAAAAUUAUCGAAUGUCAAUGAUGCAAGAACGAAAUUAGCUACAUGAUUGAGAAUUGAAUUAGAUAAUAGUAGGUGGAUUCAUAAUCCACUACACUCAUUUCAUAUACAUGCUAAAUUCCCAUUUUACAAGUUUCCUUAGAUUGAGUUAGAAUAUUAAAAAUUACAAAUCAUUUUUGUUUGUUUACUAUUAAUCUAACUAAAGACUAAUGCACUCUAUUAAAUUUUAUUCCUCGUGAGACGAUAUACAUUACUCAUCACGUAUUACUUGUCAAUGAUCUUGUACACUUGUGAGAUUUAGCACGAACAAGUUUUUAGCGUCGUUUUCGAAGAAUAAUUUAUUUAAUUUGAGUUCAUUAGUUAUUUUUAAAUUUUGAGUUUUUUUAUUAUUUUAUUUGUUUUAGGCUAUUUAUGGAAUGAACUAAGUCUCUCGUUUUCCACUUUUUAGGAAAUCACAAUUUAUACAAAAUUCUGACGAGAUCGAGUUUCUUUCGAUAGAUCCCAAAAUCGAAAAAACUUUCAAAUAGCAAAGAAGAUAGCAGAGACAAAUGAGAAAAAUGGCAAAAAAUCAACAUCAGAAUUAGGUACAGAACCCCUUACCACUACCUGGCCAGAUUAGCCAAGGGUAGUCGCAAAUCAUGGAGAAGCUUUAGUAAGGAAAUAUGUAAAUCCUGUACCAGCUGUUGUACAACCGACUAUCAUAUUGGACAGGCCAACAUCCAUAUUAGACCUAACAUUAUCAAUUUAUUUCAGAAUCAUCAAGAUAUUAGGUUCUCCAUGAGAUCAACAGAAAAUCCUCAUGAACAUAUUCAAGCUUUCUUGGUGCUUUGCGAUAUGAUCAACCAUGAAGACAUGUCUGUUGAUGCAUUACGACUACAUCUAUUUGCUCACUCGUUAAAGGAGAGUACACGAGAAUGGUUAAAUUCCUUAAUUCAUAGGACUAUCAUUUCAUGGAAUGACAUAGUGCAGAAGUUUACGUUGAAAUUUCUUUCACCAUCUCGAGUCCAUUAUAUUAGAAAUGAAGUCCAUACUUUUAAGCAAAAAGGACCUCCAGAGCUAUCCAGAAGCAUGGAAAAGAUUCAAAGAUUAUUUCAGAAAGUGCCCCAUGCUGAACAUUCCAAAUGAAUAAAAAAAUCUGCCUAUUCCAUUCGGGACUAAGACCUGAAUUUCGCAAUAUCGCAGAUGCCUCAGUGGGAGGGUCAAUAUUGGAUAUUUCUUUGGAUAAUGCCUUAGACUUGUUUUAGAGAAUUGCAGAAAAUGUUCCAAUGUGUUCAGAAAUUAGUUGGUGCUUUGUACUCAUCUGAUAAAUUUUAUAUACAUGUUGUAGGUUUACUCAGAAAUCAACAAUGAAGUUAGAGAUGCCAUUAUAUCAUUAGUACGUUGGAAAAUUUGUAUGAGCCUUGAUUUAUGUUUGAUUACACUCAUGACUAUUGCAUACAUAUUCAUAGUGAUUCACAAUUAAAGUAAGAGCAUAUCUACUUCCCUGGUCGAGGAGAUAAGCAAACAACAUGAUUAGGGUUCACGC